RNAcentral lists this long non-coding RNA (304 nucleotides) under Haliotis rubra (blacklip abalone). Its description in RNAcentral is "uncharacterized LOC124272792, transcript variant X1". Lineage: Eukaryota; Metazoa; Mollusca; Gastropoda; Lepetellida; Haliotidae. The record is from RNAcentral.
GGACCAUAGGAGUAGAUGGUGGAUGUUGGUGGACCAUAGGAGUAGAUGGUGGAUGUCGCAGGACCAUAGGAGUAGAUGGUGGAUGUUGGUGGACCAUAGGAGUAGGUGGUGGAUGUUGCUGGACCAUAGGAGUAGAUGGUGGAUGUUGGUGGACCAUAGGAGUAGAUGGUGGAUGUUGGUGGACCAUAGGAGUAGAUGGUGGAUGUUGGUGGACCAUAGGAGUAGAUGGUGGAUGUUGGUGGACCAUAGGAGUAGAUGGUGGAUGUUGGUGGACCAUAGGAGUAGAUGGUGGAUGUUGGUGGAC